UAUUGGUCAAUGGGCGGGAGCCUGAACCAGCCAAGUCGCGUGAAGGAAGAAGGUACUUAGUAUUGUAAACUUCUUUUGUCGGGGAACAAAGGCGGAGACGCGUCUCCGGAUGAGUGUACCCGAAGAAAAAGCAUCGGCUAACUCCGUGCCAGACGCCGCGGUAAUACGGAGGAUGCGAGCGUUAUCCGGAUUUAUUGGGUUUAAAGGGUGCGCAGGCGUUCUGUGAAGUCAGCGGUCAAAGCCCGGGGCUCAACCCCGGCCCGCCGUUGAAACUGGCAGUCUCGAGUUGGAGAGAAGUAUGCGGAAUGCGCGGUGUAGCGGUGAAAUGCAUAGAUAUCGCGCAGAACUCCGAUUGCGAAGGCAGCAUGCCGGCUCCACACUGACGCUGAGGCACGAAAGCGUGGGUAUCG
RNAcentral lists this ribosomal RNA (410 nucleotides) under uncultured bacterium. Its description in RNAcentral is "bacterial SSU rRNA". It matches the Rfam family "Bacterial small subunit ribosomal RNA", at positions 362 to 770 of the family's 1533-position model. The record is from RNAcentral.